GAUGAACGCUAGCUACAGGCUUAACACAUGCAAGUCGAGGGGUCUUUAGGGCUUGCUCUAGAGACGACCGGCGCACGGGUGAGUAACGCGUAUCCAACCUGCCCUUCAUAUUGGGAUAGCCUUCCGAAAGGGAGAUUAAUACCGAAUAACAUGAUGUUUUUGCAUGAUUUCAUCAUGAAAGCUCCGGCGAUGAAGGAUGGGGAUGCGUUUCAUUAGGUAGUAGGCGGGGUAACGGCCCACCUAGCCAACGAUGAAUAGGGGUUCUGAGAGGAACGGUCCCCCACACUGGAACUGAGACACGGUCCAG
This 307-nucleotide ribosomal RNA is filed under the name uncultured bacterium. RNAcentral describes it as "bacterial SSU rRNA". It matches the Rfam family "Bacterial small subunit ribosomal RNA", at positions 28 to 334 of the family's 1533-position model. The record is from RNAcentral.